GUAGCUCAGUUGGUAGAGUAUGCGAUCGAAAAUCGCGGUGUCGGUGGUUCGAGUCUGCCCCUAGGCACCA
RNAcentral lists this transfer RNA (70 nucleotides) under Bradyrhizobium diazoefficiens. RNAcentral describes it as "tRNA-Phe". It matches the Rfam family "tRNA". From Rfam's summary of the family: Transfer RNA (tRNA) molecules are approximately 80 nucleotides in length. Their secondary structure includes four short double-helical elements and three loops (D, anti-codon, and T loops). Further hydrogen bonds mediate the characteristic L-shaped molecular structure. tRNAs have two regions of fundamental functional importance: the anti-codon, which is responsible for specific mRNA codon recognition, and the 3' end, to which the tRNAs corresponding amino acid is attached (by aminoacyl-tRNA synthetases). tRNAs cope with the degeneracy of the genetic code in two manners: having more than one tRNA (with a specific anti-codon) for a particular amino acid; and 'wobble' base-pairing, i.e. permitting non-standard base-pairing at the 3rd anti-codon position. Lineage: Bacteria; Pseudomonadati; Pseudomonadota; Alphaproteobacteria; Hyphomicrobiales; Nitrobacteraceae. The record is from RNAcentral.